UACAGAGGGUGCGAGCGUUAAUCGGAAUUACUGGGCGUAAAGGGUGUGUAGGUGGUUGUAUAAGUUAGAUGUGAAAGCCCCGGGCUCAACCUGGGAACUGCGUUUAAGACUGUAUAACUAGAGUACUGUAGAGGAUAGUGGAAUUUCCAGUGUAGCGGUGAAAUGCGUAGAUAUUGGAAGGAACACCAGUGGCGAAGGCGACUAUCUGGACAGAUACUGACACUGAGACACGAAAGCAUGGGGAGCAAACAGG
RNAcentral lists this ribosomal RNA (253 nucleotides) under uncultured bacterium. RNAcentral's name for it is "partial 16S ribosomal RNA". It matches the Rfam family "Bacterial small subunit ribosomal RNA", at positions 524 to 776 of the family's 1533-position model. The record is from RNAcentral.